AGAGAGGAGCGGUCCCUCUUUUCCUUUGUCUGACGCUCCGGCUCGAGCUUUUGGGACAUUACUUGAAGGCACGUCAUCAUGCUCACAGUACACUGGAACCUUAAACUCAGACGGCCCGCUAAAUGUUCCCCAAAUGUUUGGGAGACAGACGUAGGACCUCCAGAGUCAUCUCUGAAGAAGCGUUCGGGAUGAAGAGGCAGAACACUUUGAUUUUUGGGAGAAGAUGAAGACUCUGGAUUUAAACCCCUGGAUCAGCUUUGCCAUUCGAGGCGUACGUGGAAAUGUAAAAACCUGGAUAUAUUUUGGAGAUUAAAAAGCUCACCAGGAUGGCAGAGUACAUACGUUGCAGUGGAUCACAUGCAGCUUCGAAGCUUUGAAUCGGCAUGUCAACAUUGUGGAGCACUGACUGCUCUGGAGAUGGGCCUGUGGGAGUGAUGAGGUCUGGGGGAUCACGACCUUAAUUUUCUCCAAGACAGACGUUUAAUUAACACUGGAGGAACCCUGGCUGGCUUCAGACCGAAUAUUGGAAUGUUCAAGGGAAUUAAGAAAAGCACCGCCCACUCUGGAGGAUGUUUGUCACUGACAACAGUUGCGAAUCAUCCUUCUCAUUCCCUACCAGACUGUGGAGACAAACUACAACAUUCAUAGUGCAGGAAGGAAUGUUACCUGUGACAGUUUCCUUAUACAAACAACUAUUACAUUGUUCAAUGCGACACUGUGUGGAUAUUCACUUAUACACAUCUAUUUUAUUGUGUUGCACCUCUACAUUAAUUUCACAAAAGAUAUGAAGGUAGGAUUUACCCUCCUACCGAGCAAAGGUAUAUUUCUACACAUUGUUGCUGUACAGUGAAAAGUAAUGAUCUUAAAAUAUAAUUACAAAUUUAAGAAUAAUCUCACAAAAUUGCUGACAGGAAUGUAGUUCAAUUUGUUCUUUACCCAGUUACCGUUACCAUAGUCGUUAUACUUUGUAUACUUUUCCUUUAUUUUUUUUCUACUUAUAAUUAGUUUACUGCUUACUUUUCUUUAUGCUGUUGUAUUCAAACAAGUGAAUUUCCCUGAUUUGGGAUUAAUAA
This is a long non-coding RNA of Phycodurus eques (leafy seadragon), 1073 nucleotides long. RefSeq lists it as uncharacterized. The record is from RefSeq and is a predicted model, not a curated record. The transcript has 5 exons. NCBI's taxonomy places the organism in Eukaryota, Metazoa, Chordata, Actinopteri, Syngnathiformes, Syngnathidae.